This 3414-nucleotide ribosomal RNA is filed under the name Triticum aestivum (bread wheat). Its description in RNAcentral is "partial small subunit ribosomal RNA". The record is from RNAcentral. Lineage: Eukaryota; Viridiplantae; Streptophyta; Magnoliopsida; Poales; Poaceae.
AUGAUCGAGGAGGCCUCUCUGGCGGCCGCGGCUGCCGCGCCGACCGCCACGGCGGGACAGGAGGUCGUCUUCCUCAACGAGUCACGUGCCCGCGUUGACUUGCGUCGCACUCCCGACGACGUGGACGCGGCCUGGUAUCUCGACACGGGCGCGUCGAACCACAUGACCGGGGACGAAGCGGCGUUCGCCGAGCUGGACAAGGGGAUCCGCGGCUCGGUCAGGUUCGGCGACGGCUCUCUCGUGCCUAUCCAAGGGCGGGGCACCGUCCUGUUCGCCACGGCCGGGGAGGAACACCGUGCACUCACCAACGUGUACUGGAUCCCGCGGCUCAGAAGCAACAUCGUCUCUAUCGGGCAGCUCGACGAGAACGGCUGCCCCACGCACGUCGAGGCCGGCGUCAUGACGGUGCGCGAUCGCCAGCACCGUGUUCUGGCCAGAGUGCCGCGCUCCCGCAACCGGCUCUACAUCGCGCGACUGCGGCUCGCCAACCCCGUCUGCCUCGCCGCGCACGCCGGCGAGGAGGCGUGGCGCUGGCAUGCGCGGUUCGGCCAUCAACACUUCGACGGCCUCGAGAGGUUGACUCGUCAGAACAUGGUCCGGGGCAUGCCCCUGAUUCAUCACACCAAGCAGGUCUGCGACGCCUGCCUGGUGGGCAAGCAGCGGAGGGCGUCCUUCCCACAGCAGGCCAACUACCGCGCCGCCGAGCCCCUUGAGCUCGUGCACGGUGACCUCUGCGGCCCUAUCUCGCCGCCUACGCCGGGUGGCAAGCGCUACUUCCUCCUGCUUGUUGAUGAUCACAGCAGGUUCAUGUGGCUGUACCUGCUCCGCAGCAAGGACGAGGCAGCCGAGGCGAUCCAGCGCUUCCAAGCGCACGCAGAGCGCGAGACGGGGCGUAAACUUCGCACCUUUCGCUCUGACCGGGGCGGGGAGUUCAACUCAGGCGAGUUCAGUGCGUACCUGGCUGACCUUGGUGUCCAGAGGCACCUCACCGCGCCGUACACGCCGCAGCAGAACGGCGUGGUGGAGAGGCGCAAUCAAACCGUCGUCGGGACGGCCCGGUGCAUGCUCAAAGGGAUGGGAGUUCCACCGCAGUUCUGGGGCGAGGCCGUGACCACGGCCGUCUUCGUGCUCAACCGCGCGUACUCCAGGAGCGUCACGGGCAGGACGCCGUUCGAGGCCUGGCAUGGCAGAAAGCCCUCCAUCGACUUCCUGCGCGUGUUCGGCUGCGUGGCGCACGCCAAGGACACGCGGCCACACCUCUCCAAGCUCGAGGACAGGAGCAAGGCCAUGGUGCUGUUCGGGUACGAGCCAGGGAGCAAGGCGUACUGGCUCUUCGACCCCGUGGGCAAGCGCGUCCAUGUCUCUCGCGAUGUCGUGUUUGAUGAGACACGGGCAUGGGACUGGGAGAAGAAGGACGCGGGACAGGAAGGUAUGAGCUUUGUGAUAGAGCCCAUGUCAACUCUCACUGGUGUACCCUCGUCUGUAGCACACUCCUCAACACCGCCAGCCGUCUCACAGUCACCCACUGCUGCGACGUCCGCGGCCAAGGCGGCCACCGUGUCAGCAGAUUCAGAGGACGACGGCGGCAGCGCCCCGGCAGCGGAGUCUGGCACCGUGGCGGGGAGUGCCGCGGGUGCGACAGCAGAACAGGCGGCUCCUACGCGCAUGGCCGGCAACCUCGCGCCGGUGCACCCGAUGACGACGCGAGGCAGGGAUGGCAUCUUCCUCCCCAACCCUCGCUACAUGAGCACGCCAGAAAGAGCGGCUCGGAACGCGCCGCCACCAGGGCUGGACGAGCCCGACGACGCCGAUGGCGAAGUCGACGACGACGAGCUUGUUGAUGAGCUGCACCUCGCGCUUGGAGAGGAGCCUGGUUCUUUCCAAGAAGCUAAAGAAAAGGCGUGCUGGCGGCGAGCGAUGAUGGAAGAGAUGAUCUCCAUCGAAGCCAACCACACUUGGGAGCUAGUGGACCUACCUGCUGGCCAUCGUCCGAUCUGUCUCAAGUGGGUUUACAAGGUCAAGAAAGACGCCAAUGGCGCUGUGGUGAAGUACAAGGCGAGGUUGGUGGCGAAGGGAUAUGUGCAGAAGCACGGCGUGGACUAUGACGAGGUCUUUGCGCCGGUGGCAAGGCUCGAAUCCGUUCGCCUCCUACUUGCUCUGGCUGCUCGCGCAGGCUGGACCGUGCACCACAUGGACGUGAAGUCCGCCUUCCUCAACGGCGAGCUAGAAGAGGAGGUUUACGUGGCCCAACCACCGGGUUUCACGGCUGCUGGACAAGACUCCAAGGUACUCAAGCUCAAGAAGGCCUUGUACGGGCUGAAACAGGCCCCUCGCGCGUGGAAUGCAAAGCUGGACGCGAGCCUGGCCUCGCUUGGGUUCAGCAGGUGCCCAUCCGAGCAUGCCGUGUACGCCAAGGGCGCGGCAACAUCUCAUCUGGUCGUCGGGGUUUACGUCGAUGAUCUGAUCAUCACGGGAUCCGACGAGGAGGAGAUCGCGGGCUUCAAGAAGGAGAUGCAGGCGCUCUUCGACAUGAGCGACCUGGGUCGGCUACACUACUACCUCGGGAUCGAGGUGAGGCAGCACGGCGGCGGCAUCGACCUCGGCCAAGCUGCGUACGCUGCCAAGAUCCUCGACAAGGUGGGUAUGACAGGUUGCAACCCCUGUCACAUGCCCAUGGAGCCCCGCUUCAAGCUGAGCAGAGUGAGCUCGGCGAGAGCAGUGGACGCCACCGAGUACAGGAGCGUCGUGGGCAUGCUCCGCUACCUCGUCCACACCAGACCAGACCUGGCUUUCUCCGUCGGGUACGUCUCAAGGUUCAUGCAGGAGCCCACGAUCGAGCACAUGACGGCGGUGAAGCACAUUCUGCGCUAUGUGGCGGGAACCAUGCACUGGGGAGUGCGGUACACCCGCGGUGACCAUGCCGCUCCUCUGAUCGGCUACAGCGACAGCGAUCUAGGAGGCGACGUGGACAACCGCAGGAGCACCACUGGCGUCGCAUUCUUCCUCGGCAGCAACCUGGUGAGCUGGCAGUCACAAAAGCAGAGGGUGGUGGCUCUCUCUUCGUGUGAGUCUGAGUACAUGGCUGCCACUACGGCUGCCUGCCAAGGCAUCUGGUUAGCACGGCUGCUGGGAGAGAUCAAGGAUGAAGAUCAGAAGGCAGCGGUGCUCAACGUCGACAACAAAUCAGCCAUAUCUUUGAGUAAGAAUCCUGUUUUCCACGAUCGGAGCAAGCACAUAGAGAUCAGAUACCACUUCAUUCGGGAGUGCGUGGAGAAUGGGAAGAUCCAGAUCGAGUUCGUCCGAUCCGAGGAGCAGCUUGCUGAUGUGCUCACCAAGGCGCUAGGGCGAGUCAAGCUCCAGGAGCAGCGUGCGAAGAUCGGGAUGGUGGAGCUCAACGAGGCACACAAGGCUUAG